CCUACGGGAGGCAGCAGUGGGGGAUAUUGCACAAUGGGGGGAACACUGAUGCAGCGACGCCGCGUGGGUGAAGAAGCGCCACGGCGCCUUAAGCCUUGUCAGCCGGGAAGAAAAUGACGGUACCUGUAGACGAAGCCCCGGCUAACUACGUGCCAGCACCCGCGGUAACACGGCGGGGGCAAGCGUAAUCCGGAUUUACUGGGUGUAAAGGGGGUGCAGACGGCGCUGCAAGCCAGGAGGGAAAGCCCGGGGCCCAACCCCGGGACUGCGGGUGGAACUGCGUGGCUAGAGUGCAGGAGGGGCAGGCGGAAUGCGUGGUGUAGCGGUGAAAUGCGUAGAUAUCAGGAGGAACACCGGUUGCGAAGGCGGUCUGCUGGACUGCAACUGACGUUGAGGCCCGAAAGCGUGGGGAGCAAACAGGAUUAGAUACCCCAGUAGUC
RNAcentral lists this ribosomal RNA (440 nucleotides) under uncultured bacterium. RNAcentral describes it as "partial 16S ribosomal RNA". It matches the Rfam family "Bacterial small subunit ribosomal RNA", at positions 338 to 795 of the family's 1533-position model. The record is from RNAcentral.